AUUGAACGCUGGCGGCAGGCCUAACACAUGCAAAUCGAACGGUAACAGAAAGCAGCUUGCUGCUUUGCUGACGAGUGGCGGACGGGUGAGUAAUGUCUGGGAAACUGCCUGAUGGAGGGGGAUAACUACUGGAAACGGUAGCUAAUACCGCAUAACGUCGCAAGACCAAAGAGGGGGACCUUCGGGCCUCUUGCCAUCGGAUGUGCCCAGAUGGGAUUAGCUAGUAGGUGGGGUAACGGCUCACCUAGGCGACGAUCCCUAGCUGGUCUGAGAGGAUGACCAGCCACACUGGAACUGAGACACGGUCCAGACUCCUACGGGAGGCAGCAGUGGGGAAUAUUGCACAAUGGGCGCAAGCCUGAUGCAGCCAUGCCGCGUGUAUGAAGAAGGCCUUCGGGUUGUAAAGUACUUUCAGCGGGGAGGAAGGGAGUAAAGUUAAUACCUUUGCUCAUUGACGUUACCCGCAGAAGAAGCACCGGCUAACUCCGUG
This 490-nucleotide ribosomal RNA is filed under the name uncultured bacterium. Its description in RNAcentral is "partial 16S ribosomal RNA". It matches the Rfam family "Bacterial small subunit ribosomal RNA", at positions 30 to 507 of the family's 1533-position model. The record is from RNAcentral.